UACGUAGGGCGCAAGCGUUAUCCGGAAUUAUUGGGCGUAAAGAGCUCGUAGGCGGUUUGUCGCGUCUGCCGUGAAAGUCCGGGGCUCAACUCCGGAUCUGCGGUGGGUACGGGCAGACUAGAGUGCGGUAGGGGAGAUUGGAACUCCUGGUGUAGCGGUGGAAUGCGCAGAUAUCAGGAAGAACACCGAUGGCGAAGGCAGAUCUCUGGGCCGUAACUGACGCUGAGGAGCGAAAGCAUGGGGAGCGAACAGG
This 253-nucleotide ribosomal RNA is filed under the name uncultured bacterium. Its description in RNAcentral is "partial 16S ribosomal RNA". It matches the Rfam family "Bacterial small subunit ribosomal RNA", at positions 524 to 776 of the family's 1533-position model. The record is from RNAcentral.